CCUACGGGAGGCAGCAGUGAGGAAUAUUGGUCAAUGGACGAGAGUCUGAUCCAGCCAAGUAGCGUGAAGGAUGACGGCCUUCUGGGUUGUAAACCUCUUUUAUAAAGGAAUAAAACGCGGCACGUGUGCCUUUUUGCAUGUACUUUAUGAAUAAGGCUCGGCUAACUCCGUGCCAGCAGCCGCGGUAAUACGGAGGAUCCGAGCGUUAUCCGGAUUUAUUGGGUUUAAAGGGAGCGUAGAUGGGUUGUUAAGUCAGUUGUGAAAGUUUGCGGCUCAACCGUAAAAUUGCAAUUGAUACUGGCAGUCUGGAGUACAGGUGAGGUAGGCGGAAUUCGUGGUGUAGCGGUGAAAUGCGUAGAUAUCACGAAGAACCCCGAUGGCGAAGGCAGCUUACUAAACUGUGACUGACAUUGAGGCUCGAAAGUGUGGGUAUCAAACAGGAUUAGAUACCCCUGUAGUC
RNAcentral lists this ribosomal RNA (460 nucleotides) under uncultured bacterium. RNAcentral's name for it is "partial 16S ribosomal RNA". It matches the Rfam family "Bacterial small subunit ribosomal RNA", at positions 338 to 795 of the family's 1533-position model. The record is from RNAcentral.